UAAUACAUAAGUAACCUGCCCUAGACAGGGGGAUAACUAUUGGAAACGAUAGCUAAGAUCGCAUAGGUACGGACACUGCAUGGUGACCGUAUUAAAAGUGCCUCAAAGCACUGGUAGAGGAUGGACUUAUGGCGCAUUAGCUGGUUGGCGGGGUAACGGCCCACCAAGGCGACGAUGCGUAGCCGACCUGAGAGGGUGACCGGCCACACUGGGACUGAGACACGGCCCAG
Molecule: ribosomal RNA, 230 nt
Filed under: uncultured bacterium
Lineage: Bacteria
Description: partial 16S ribosomal RNA
Rfam family: Bacterial small subunit ribosomal RNA
Source: RNAcentral